Molecule: ribosomal RNA, 305 nt
Filed under: uncultured bacterium
Lineage: Bacteria
Description: bacterial SSU rRNA
Rfam family: Bacterial small subunit ribosomal RNA
Source: RNAcentral
UCCUACGGGGGGCAGCAGUGGGGAAUAUUGCACAAUGGGGGAAACCCUGAUGCAGCGACGCCGCGUGAGUGAAGAAGUAUUUCGGUAUGUAAAGCUCUAUCAGCAGGGAAGAAAAUGACGGUACCUGACUAAGAAGCCCCGGCUAACUACGUGCCAGCAGCCGCGGUAAUACGUAGGGGGCAAGCGUUAUCCGGAUUUACUGGGUGUAAAGGGAGCGUAGACGGCAUGGCAAGUCAGAUGUGAAAGCCCGGGGCUCAACCCCGGGACUGCAUUUGAAACUGUCAGGCUGGAGUGCAGGAGAGGUA